This 300-nucleotide ribosomal RNA is filed under the name uncultured bacterium. RNAcentral's name for it is "bacterial SSU rRNA". It matches the Rfam family "Bacterial small subunit ribosomal RNA", at positions 399 to 691 of the family's 1533-position model. The record is from RNAcentral.
GCGUGCGGGAAGAAGGCCUUCGGGUUGUAAACCGCUUUUGUCAGGGAAGAAACGGCUCGCUCUAAUACAGUGGGCUAAUGACGGUACCUGAAGAAUAAGCACCGGCUAACUACGUGCCAGCAGCCGCGGUAAUACGUAGGGUGCAAGCGUUAAUCGGAAUUACUGGGCGUAAAGCGUGCGCAGGCGGUUAUGCAAGACAGAUGUGAAAUCCCCGGGCUCAACCUGGGAACUGCAUUUGUGACUGCAUGGCUAGAGUACGGUAGAGGGGGAUGGAAUUCCGCGUGUAGCAGUGAAAUGCGU